UACAAAUACUUCAAAUAUUAACUCCAUUAAAUUCAGCUGAGAAAAUCCAGAUCCAGGAAUGUUAAGAUACCCUUGCAAGGAUACAAGAAUAAUCGGCAGGCAAAUCAGGGCUCAGCUGUGAAGGAAGGUCCUAGAAGAGGGUUAACCAGGCAGAAGGAAAGGAAGCAGGCCUGGAGUGCUGAGGCCUUGGCAGGGGGCUUGUUUCUAGCAGAUCUAAGCCCAGCUGGAGAAGUCACUAUGAUGCAUGUGCCAUGAAUGGAAUAGAAGAGCUGUUGAAUGCUUAACCCUUAGUGCUAUCCCCCUGGAAUAGCUGCUUCAACUAUUUUCACUCUCACUGUCACCAUUGUAUGGAAAAGCAGUGCCUUUCAUCACCACCACCAUCAAUGCCUCCAUCGUCAUUGCCAGGAAGAUUAUUCAUUCAGCAAACUUUGUGUCUAAUAUGUCAGUCAAUCAAUAAACAAUUAUUAAUCACCUAC
Long non-coding RNA from Antechinus flavipes (yellow-footed antechinus), 476 nucleotides. RefSeq lists it as uncharacterized. The record is from RefSeq and is a predicted model, not a curated record. The transcript is spliced from 2 exons. NCBI's taxonomy places the organism in Eukaryota, Metazoa, Chordata, Mammalia, Dasyuromorphia, Dasyuridae.